UAACGACUAUCGCAAAAGGCCUACAUCGGCUGCAAGCUCCAAGAACCAGGUAAAUUUAGUCAAUUCUUAAUAACUAAUACAAAUUUAUUUGCCUUCAGCCAUGCAGAUAUGCUGGGAAUCUCCAAGAAGAUUGCCAUACACAAAUUAAUCGUUGAUCUUUUCUAAUCCCCGAUAAGGCUACAUAUCAAAGAUUGGUCACGAGUAUGUUCAAAGAUCAGCUUGGCAAGACCAUGGAAGUAUAUAUCAAUGACAUGUUGGCCAAG
RNAcentral lists this long non-coding RNA (263 nucleotides) under Nicotiana benthamiana. RNAcentral's name for it is "long non-coding RNA (NBEN_LNC042522)". Lineage: Eukaryota; Viridiplantae; Streptophyta; Magnoliopsida; Solanales; Solanaceae. The record is from RNAcentral.